UACGAGCGGAUCGACAGGGUUUCUAGAGGAUUAACCCCGCGGGGCCCAGAAAUCUCGCUAAUCCUCGUCGGCCCACUUGUUUCGCGGGGUUUGCGCAGCCGAAUCCCUUCGACCCCCUUCGUUCCCCUCCUAUCCACGCGGCUGGCCAGCCUCGCGGGCACCCGUGCGGAAUGGGACGCACCGAGACAGAGCGUCGCCCCGCCGCCGCCGUCCUCCUCCGCCGGUACUUCUCGAGGGCUCAGAAGACGAAAUCGAAACAACGAGAAGAACCACCUUCGGAAGAAAGAACUGGAUUACUUGGUGAGGAGGCUGCGCAGCAGGAUUCUGAGAGUGCCAGCUCUAGCACCGCGCUCAUGGGAUCUGGUCAGACAAAGAGAACCUGAGUGUAGUGCAGGCCAUGCGUGCAGGUGGCCGGCGAGGUAUGGGCGGAAAGUGGUGGAGAAGCAAGAUGAUGGUGGCCACCGCCGACCCGACCUGGAGCUGGCCCUCUUUGAUGUCGUGUGCCUUGGGGUGGUUUUACUCUUGCCUCCACGGAAAGCUGUAGCUCGACCUGGACUGGACGCCCGUGUGCUUGCAUAUAUAAUGCCAACGAUUUGUGCGAUGAUCUGCUUAGGUUGAGCCUAAGCACGCAUCGCCGCUGCGGUCGCCAUCGGAGCAGGUCAGGAGGAGUUAUCGCCUUAUCGGAGCUGAGAAGAAGCAGGCGAGCAUCGACAUCGAUCGACCAGUCCACGGAAGUGGAAUUGCUUAAUGCUAAAGGCAACGGGAACUGCAUAGUUGGCUGCAGGCUCCGCUCACUUUGCAGCAAUCAAGGAUGAAGCUCGCUCUUGGGCCAUGGCUGGAGCUAGAGGAAUGAACUUAGGGCUAGCUGUAACCUGAUCGUGUCUUUGGGGGACUAAGCAACCCUGUGUCUUCUGCUCAUCUCGUCACCACAGCGCUGCCAUUCUUGUGCAUGUCUCUGUGGUGAUCCCCUGUAAUUUCUAAACUUUCUCCCCUAUCAAUGCAAUGAUACACCAUCUAGGCAUAUUCGAGAAAAAAAAAAUAAGAUUCCGGUUGCUAAUUUGGUCA
Molecule: non-coding RNA, 1065 nt
Organism: Triticum urartu
Lineage: Eukaryota; Viridiplantae; Streptophyta; Magnoliopsida; Poales; Poaceae
Source: RefSeq, a predicted model, not a curated record